UGGGGAAUAUUGGACAAUGGGCGCAAGCCUGAUCCAGCCAUGCCGCGUGUGUGAAGAAGGCCUUUUGGUUGUAAAGCACUUUAAGCGAGGAGGAGGCUACUUGGAUUAAUACUCUAAGAUAGUGGACGUUACUCGCAGAAUAAGCACCGGCUAACUCUGUGCCAGCAGCCGCGGUAAUACAGAGGGUGCGAGCGUUAAUCGGAUUUACUGGGCGUAAAGCGUGCGUAGGCGGCUUCUUAAGUCGGAUGUGAAAUCCCUGAGCUUAACUUAGGAAUUGCAUUCGAUACUGGGAAGCUAGAGUAUGGGAGAGGAUGGUAGAAUUCCAGGUGUAGCGGUGAAAUGCGUAGAGAUCAGGAGGAAUACCGAUGGCGAAGGCAGCCAUCUGGCCUAAUACUGACGCUGAGGUACGAAAGCAUGGGGAGCAAACAGG
This 430-nucleotide ribosomal RNA is filed under the name bacterium. RNAcentral describes it as "partial 16S ribosomal RNA". It matches the Rfam family "Bacterial small subunit ribosomal RNA", at positions 355 to 776 of the family's 1533-position model. The record is from RNAcentral.